Molecule: long non-coding RNA, 1714 nt
Organism: Camelus dromedarius (Arabian camel)
Lineage: Eukaryota; Metazoa; Chordata; Mammalia; Artiodactyla; Camelidae
Exons: 4
Source: RefSeq, a predicted model, not a curated record
UGUAUCUUUUUUGUCCAGAUAAUGAUUGAGUUAUACUUCGUCAGACUUUCACUGACGUGUAAUAUACAUGUAAGAAAAUGCACAAAUAUAUGUGUGUGGUCAGGCCAUUCAAGAUGGCCCUCCGCUUGCUCUCUCCAUAUCUCCUGCUCUACCAGGCCCUGCUGCACUCACAUGACUAUCCAAUCCUGUUAAUUAUAGGGCUUAAUCACUAACUGCCAGCGUGCUUGCCCCCUGCCCCAGCUGCUGGUUUCCCUGGAAACCGACGAGCCAACCUGACGUCAGUUCCCCCUAUAAAUACAAUCUCCUCCCCUGAGUAGCAGAGAUUGCCGCCUUGUCUUCCACUUGGCUGCGCUUGGUGAGUGUGUCACUCCAGGCCCCUCGGUGUGAGAGCCCCCCACACCCACAAACCAGUGAUGGCUUUGUCACUGUUUCUGUGCUCUUUCCUCGGUGUUGACUCUGGGCAACUUCAAGGCUCGCAGGCCUGCAGAGCGCCCAACAAGACGGCGCCAGGAGCGGAGAACAAACUGUGAACCGCGCUACCAGCCAGUCCGAAGUCUCCUUCGUGCCGCUCCAAAUCUCCACUCCAAACACCAAAGGAAAAUGGAGCACUUCUCCCUAUUCCUCCAUUGACUACAACUAGAAAACUUGGACAUACAUAUAAAACAAACAAAAAGGACUUUGAAAGGUACAGAGAAGUCAGGCAGCCUAGGAACAUCAGGAACCAAGAGGUGACACCAUGGCAAGAGGAUUAAGAUUAUCCAGACUCUUCCAAGCAGCUUUCAUUUUUCCUUUUAAUCAUCUAAUGAAGAAGUAUAUAUUGGAUGCCUACUUGGUGCCGAACACACAAGGCAUUUGAGAUCAAAUGAUCAAUGUCUCCACUAAUUUGUGAGACCGUAUGGAAGUACCUCCCUCAUGAUGCCUGCCUGGAUCCUACCCAGCUUAAGAAAACAAAACCAAACCUCUCACUCCUCCCAAGCACUGUAAUUCUAUUUGUUUACUACUUUUAGCCUUAUUUGACAGGGUUUUUUGGAAGGUUAUUUUGUAUCUGUUUUAGAUUAUAAGGACAGAGGAAACACUAAGAAGGGAUUGCUAUCCCUAGGGCUGGGCAAUGGAAAGGGUGGAACUAUUAAAUCUUAGAAGCUUGAAGGUGUGCCUACUGAAACUGAGACCUUGGAACAGGGAUUACUUCUUGGCUAUUAUUAAUAUUUCUGAGCUCAGAAAUGGGACCCUGUGAAACUGCGACCCAGACCUCUUGAGGAAGGGAUUCUAGACAGCUGGUGUCUCUCAUGAGGUUGGUUCAGCUAAUGUUGAAAAAAGUGUAGUUUGGUGCAGCUAUUAUGGAAAACAGUAUGGAGAUUCCUCAAAAGACUGAAAAUAGACUUACCUUACAAUCCAGCAAUCCCACUCCUGGGCAUUUAUCCAGAGGGAACCUUAAUUCAAAAAGAUACAUGCACCCCAACGUUCAUUGCAACCCUAUUUACAAUAGCCAAGACAUGGAAACAACCUAAGUGUCCAUCAACAGGUGACUGGAUAAAGAGGUUGUAGUAUAUUUAUACAAUGGAGUACUACUCAGCCACAAAAAAGAAUAAGAUAAUGCCAUUUGCAGCAACAUGGAUAGAUCUAGAGAUCAUCAUUCUAAGUGAAGUAAGCCAGAAAGAGAAAGAAAAAUACCCUGUGAUAUCACUUAUAUGUGGAAUCUAAAAAAAAAGAAAGA